UACGUAGGGUGCGAGCGUUGUCCGGAAUUAUUGGGCGUAAAGAGCUCGUAGGCGGUUUGUCGCGUCGACUGUGAAAACCUGGGGCUUAACUCUGGGCCUGCAGUCGAUACGGGCAGACUUGAGUUCGGUAGGGGAGACUGGAAUUCCUGGUGUAGCGGUGAAAUGCGUAGAUAUCUGGAGGAACACCGGUGGCGAAGGCGGCAUCCUGGACCAACACUGACGCUGAGGAGCGAAAGCCAGGGGAGCAAACGGG
This 253-nucleotide ribosomal RNA is filed under the name uncultured bacterium. RNAcentral's name for it is "partial 16S ribosomal RNA". It matches the Rfam family "Bacterial small subunit ribosomal RNA", at positions 524 to 776 of the family's 1533-position model. The record is from RNAcentral.